AUGGAUGAGCCCCUAAUUUCUGUUAUGACCCAGUCCAGAGAGGAUACGGCAGUGUGUUUAGAGCAGGUUUAUGUACGGACCUUAAACGAAGUUAGUGUGGAGGACACUGGACGUGACGCCCCGCCCACCCUCACGGUCCUGCCCCCCUCCAGUGUACAGCUGCAGCAGGAGAAGGUCACACUCGUGUGUCUGGCCAACAAGGGCUUCCCCUCAGACUGGAAGCUGAGCUGGAAGGUGGCAGGUAGCAGCUGGAGCUCGGGGGUGAGCCAGAGCUCCGGGCUACUGCAGAAGGACGGCCUCUACAGCUGGAGCAGCACCCUGACCCUCCAGAAGGAGGAGUGGCUGAAGAACACAGUGACCUGUGAGGCCACCAAGGACUCCCAGUCUCCUGUCACACAGACACUGAGUAGAGAGCAGUGUGCUGAGGCGUGA
Non-coding RNA from Electrophorus electricus (electric eel), 432 nucleotides. NCBI's taxonomy places the organism in Eukaryota, Metazoa, Chordata, Actinopteri, Gymnotiformes, Gymnotidae. The record is from the annotation of a RefSeq genome assembly.